ACGCGCUCGAGCUCCUCGUAGCCGCCCUGGCUGAGGUUGUAGCGCGCCCGCAGCUCCCGCUGCCGCAGCUCCAGCCGCUGCCGCUCCAGCAUCUCCGGCUCCGACUCCAGCGCGUCGAAGACCGCGGCGCCCACCAGCAGUUUCUCUGAUGCGGUUACCCCAUCGGUUGAGCCUGUAGAAUGUCUCUUGGCUUUGGACUUGCUGACACGCUGGCCCCCCUUGCCUGUGAGCUCAUCUCCAGCGGGAGCUCUUUUCCCAGGAGUGCCGUGCCGGACUGCAAGUCGGUGUCUGGGUUUUUGAGGAGGCUAAACUUGCUUUGGGGAAGAUGGUCUUGUGCUUCAGAAGGCACCGCUCGAGCUGACCCCUGAGCUCUGUUAACACAAAGCCAGGACCUGCCUAUCUGUCUUGAAUGUGGAUGAAGGCGUUGCAGGGGAUCAAAAGGUCUUACUGCCGUGUGGAGGAGAAAUAUCCAUGGGAUGGCAGGAGAAAGCCUGAAGGCUGGAGUUUGAGGCGUAAAGGUUCAGUGGUGGACAACGUCCAGUGGAAACAGUCGGAAGAGGAGGUUGCUGAGACCUAGAUUCAGCCAUUCCUGAAGCUUCCUUGAUCUUUGCUUUCUCAUAACCAGCACUGCUUUUCUUCCUGAUUCCAAUUUGUUGUGUUUCUUUCACUUGUAAGUGAGAGAAUUAACAGUAGCAUGUUCUCCCUGGUGUGCUCUUCUCUCGGCUCGGUGUCCUCUGUACAUAUUAUGUCUGAGGUGGUUUGUAGGUCACCUAGUCAACCUGGUCAACCUCUUUUGGAUUAAGAGAAGGCCACACAAAUUCUCUGGGGAAGCCUUUCUAAGGGUUAUACUACAAAAAAGUACCAGAUGGACUCUUCUCUGACGAAAUUUAGCUAUGAGUUUGAUUCCCAGCAGUUAGUGAUGGUGAGGCCUCUGGAGGGGUCCUGGCCAGGGCUAUGUGAUUUGAGGGCCAUGCCUGUCUAUGAAGAAUCAAAAACCUUUAUUAAAAUUUGUUUAAGAGAAAAAAAGACACAGAAAAGGAAACAAAAGGCAAAAGAGACAAACAAACAACAAACUCAAAACAAUAACAGUAUAGGUUAACAAAACAAGAUUUUAGGAAUUUGACAAUGGUUGUAAUAUUGCGUAUUGUUACCUUCAAAAGGGCUGCUUAGAUUAUCAGAUAUAGACGUGGGAAAUUGGUCUAAACAUAUGAGUAUUAACUGUUAUUUUCCAAGAAUUAAUAUAAUUAGUAGUACAGUCAUUUUAGCUAACACACACACACACACACACACACACACACACAGAUUUGUGUCUUUUUCCUUUCCCUUCCUUAGAACAAAGAAUCUUGGCUUGGCUAUGGGAGCUCUGAAGUCAGAUCUGGAGGGAAAGGAGUGUGUCCCUCUUUUAUAGUCCAAAGCAUCCCAGGGUUACCCCAAAAUACAGGUGAACUCACUCCGUCCUCUUAACUGGCUGUUAACGAGCCAAUCCAUAAUUUGCAAGUUGCUUUAAGAAAAGGCAAGAGGAGAAACCAACCACCAGCCUUUCUGGUAAGCUGUACAAGCCACAUGGCCUCCAGGAAGAGAAAAGUCGGUCCUCCCAUGAGCCUGUUGGUGUGGACUGGGAAUCAGAUACCACCGCCCCUCCAAGCAACCCCCUCCAGCAGGCCUGAGCAUCUCCUGGGGGGUGACUGUAAGCAGUAUAGCAAAUAUGGGGGAUUUCCUUCUAUCUUGUCUUUGAAGUCCAAUAUUGUUCUCACCGUUUUGCUUUGCUCUGAUGAAUUGUUUUGCUUUAUUCAAUAUUGUUUUGAUUGGUUUUAUUCUGUUUUGUUUUUGGUUUGAUUUUGCUAAACCUGAUGGAAUGGACAACUAUUGUGAAGAUAACAAGAUGCACUAUGGUAGCUAUUUCUGUUUUCCUAGUAUCCUGCUUUAAAGUUUUGUACCAACUUUGCUGCUUUGUUUUGAUUGGCUCUGUUCUGUUUUGUUUUGUUGGAUUUUACUAUCUUUGAAAUAAAAAUAAAAAAUAAAAGAAAAGGCCAGAGGAAAGGAACAGGGAAAACAGAUUUGCUUUUAUUAUCUGAGUGGAGGUGAGGUGUAAGUGUGUGUGUGUGUGGUGUGCACACAUGUGUGAAGCAAGCAGCAGCAUACUCACCUCCUUCCUGAUCUUCCAAGGAUGUCUACAGUCCCUUGGUUAAGGUGACAUGAGGACCUGUCUUCAGCAGAACACACCAGGACAUAAACUAGAAGAUGGGCUGCCUCCAGGCUCCACGGGGCCUGCGCCGAACCUCAGCAAGUCCUGCUUUGUCUUCCUGUAACUUCCUAGCAAGUCACAAAAUUAAAACCCAGGUGACUUCUGUUUGGGGAACUCCAAGUCUUAUGGCCUUUUGGGGCCACCAUACCUUUUGAUAUACAAGAGCAAAUGGGUGAAGCCCUCAACCCCAAAUAGAGGGAAACUCAGGGCUUCCUGGGAAUUUGCUCUCAAUCCCUUUUUACUCUGAUAUUUUCCCCGUUUUUACCUUCUUCCCUUCCUCCCUGCUUCCUUCUUUCCUUCCCUCUCCUUUCCUCCUGGGGCUGUUUUCUCCUUUUUUGUCUUGUGUCAAAACAAAUGUAAACACAGACCUUUCCCUUGAUUUCCCCAGAGUAGCUCUAACAUAUUUUUUUUCAUAAGUGCAGCUGGGAGAGGUAGUUGCAUUUAGCACCAAAAAGCACCUUAAAGUCACAAAUAUCAGCUGUUCCCUUGCUUAUGUCUCCUCUUCCGCCAGCCAGCUCCCCUCCCCGGGGCCCAGACUUCACCAGCGUCCCCCACCCCUCCGGCUUCCCUUCCCCUUCUCCCGUGGGGGGCUCAGCUCUACCCCUCCUCCGGCUGACUCCAGGCCAACCCUGGCCUCUCAGCAGCCUGCUGAGGACCAGCGUUGAAAUGACUUUCCUUCACCGCAGCGGCAUCCUUCCCUUACCAGCCUCUACAGGCGUGUAAAGAUCCAUCGUCCCUUUGAUAUGAACUAUGUCACCUCCUUAGAGGGCAGAAGUAGGUGGAGUAAUUCUGUUGGCUGUUUAAGCUGGAGCUUUUCUUUCCUGCUGCUCAAGCUUAGCUGCAGCCCAGAGUUGCUGGCAUCGGCCCUUCCUGCCUAGUUUGAUGUGCCCUACUCCAGCUGCUCCACCAUCCCGCUAGUGAGCACACCGGAGUCCCACUCUGCCUCACAGCCAAAGAGCCUUUUAAAAUAACCCAAGCUCUUAUUCCAGGUAUUCUGCCUCCCAAGCUGAAGUACAGCCUUGGGGUUCCUUGAGACAUGCGACCCUCUUCUUUCUCCUCCAGCAAGAUCUUGGAGCCUGCUGAUUGCCUUUGUGUGGCUGAGAGUGUCACAGUACGUGAUUGAGACCCAGGGCCCCUAGGCCCGGUAGGGCCCCUAAGCCUAUCAGGUCCCGGGAACCUUGCAGAGCACCUGUUCAUGGGAAACACUCUAAAAACAUUCACCUGGCUAACCCAGGCACCACCAUGCCCUGGACCCUAGGGAAAAUGGCUCAGACUGGGAUUUGCUUCCCUGGCCUUGCAGAAACUGUAUGCUUUUCAUGCUGGUAUCGGCCCAGGAAGCCUGGGAAGGGUAAGGAGCCCUGUACUGAGAGGUGAGAUCCAAAUCCUGGCUGUUUCUUCCUGAAAGUAACUUCAAGGGGACAGGUAGCCGCGUCCCUGCUUGGGCCUCUGUUAUCUGAAGAACAAAGAGCUAGACUAGAUGAGGCCCAGAAGCUAAGUGAGUCCUGGCAAGGGGUGACCUUACUUAGGGCAGGAGUUCAUCAUGGUGCCUAGAGGUAGAUGCCCGGCAACAGCGGAGGCAGGGCUGACCCUGCUCGGUGGGGGUCAGGACUGUGUGGCUACUGUCCUUGGAGGCCUAGGGUGCUGGAUUCCGAGGAACUGAAGAGGACAGUGUGCCUGUAACGAGUACUGGAGGCGGUCACUCGGGACAGGACUGGGGAGUUGGGCAGGUGCUGUAGAGCUGUAUCUCAGGGCAGUGGAGACCCUGGAGGAGGCUCUCAAAGGCAACCUGCACAAUCUACCUAUAUUCUUAAAAUACCAUGUUCAGCCUGGGGCUGCAUCUCUGCAGUAGAGCAUUGAUCUAGCAUGAAUGAAGCCCUGGAUCCCUGACUCUGAAAAAAAGAAAAAGAAAAACAAGACAAAGAGAAAGAGAAAGCGCUUCUGUGGAGAGCAGACGAGCAGGAGGCUCAAAGGGAACUGGAUGAGGGCGAGAGGGGAGCAGCCUUGUGCUAGGAGGAUGCCGUGGGGAUGAGGAAGCGUGCGUGAGGAGAAGGCACAUUUUGCCGGUAGGACUGAUCACUGUGGCCACCAAUAUGGCGAGUGAAGAUGCUGGACACCUUGGGUCUCCCAGCACCUAGUCAGGGCUGCGUGAACGCAGUCAGCCUCAGAAGGAAGGAUCGUCGGAUCCACUGAGAGCCUGUACAACUUUGCUGCCGGCUUAGAUACUGUCUUAGUUGAGGUAUAAAAUCUCACGUGUUCAGAAGUGGCACUCUUGGCAGGUGGGUGGAUCACAGGGACAAUGCAUCCAUCACUGGAUGGCUGAAUGUGCUGCUAGCCGGUGGGGCUGGUUGGACGAGGUGUGUCGCUGGGGGUGUUUAUUUGGAGGGUACAUCUGUCUUUCUAUCUGUCUUUCUGGCUUCCCCCUUCCCUCUCUGCUUCUUGGCUGCCAUGGGUUGAGCAGUUCUGCUCUCCCAUGCUUUUCCACAAUGCUGUUUCUGCACUGGAGCAACCAACCAUGGACUGAAUCUGCUAAAACUAUAAGCCGAAAUAAGCUUCUCCUCUUUUUAGUCACAAGUAGUAGAUAUUUUGUCCUAGUGACAGGAAAGCAACUAAAACAAAGGUGACUAGGUGGGAACCUCAGGCCUCUCUCCAAGUGAUAUUGAGAGGAGGAAAAAAAUGAGAGGAGCUUGUGACAAUGGCUGGAGCUUCUGCAUGAGACCCACGUGUGACCCACAUGUGAGAAAGUCCUCUAUCUUCUGCACUGGUUUCCCAUUCUCUGUGGUGGUGAGGAAAGCCCCUGCUAAUCAAGCUUCAGAAACCUUGCUUCUAGAUGUGGUUCUGGUUCAGCCUGGCUACUCCAAGUCUCAGAUGGCUUUGGGAUGACUUCAGGGCUCUACCAACCAGGACUGGCUGACAGGUGAUUCCAUCAACUGAGUUUGCUGGGCCUGUGAUGGGUUGGUGCUCUUUGGGGAGAGAGAGAGAGAGACAUGUGGUCCUGUGAAACAGGGAAAGAGAAAGAGCAGCAAAUAGGGGUUUGGUGAGAAAGGGGGGGCCACUUGCUAAAUAAAAUGUAAAUGAAGCCCACAGUGGCUGCCAAGGAGCGAAAAGUGACUGAUGAAAACCUUAUGUCUCUGAGUAAGUGGCCCGAGAAGCCUGCUGUGUGCACGCGGUGAUGGUGUUGCUGUUGGUCUCUAUGCAAUGGAAAAAUCUCCUAUUUUAAAGAAUACAGCGUUAAGAGGCUCUCCGAGACAAACCACGUUUCGCAGUUAACUAGUUUACAAGGUCAGUAACGGAAAGACAAAGUAAGUCAGCUGAAAAUGUCUUGCUCAAUAACAAAAGUUGUUUAAAAGCUCAACGUCACACGCCAAAACUGUAAGAUAGGCUCACUCUGCAGCUGGCUUGUUUUGUUUUUCUUGCUUAAAUACUUCUUCAGGGAUAAAGAAGCACUUAAAAGUACUUUCAGGUACCAGGGUGGCUAUUGCAUUCCCUGAUGUCUGAAAAAUGAAAGCAAUAUUUGUAAAACAUACAAACUUACUGUUACUUUUUCUAAUUUGACCCCGAAGCAAACUAAAACAAAGGCAAACCUCACGACUGCUCGUUCUUAGUCUGCGGCACAGAAUUCUAAUUUCCUCACCCAGCACUCAGUGUGCUGUGCUUCGGACUGGAAUUUUCCCCCAUGGAGUAUGCCCCCUGCCCCUGGCCGCUAUGUCCCGUCUGCAGGAUGGGGCUUGAGGUCAGCUACGUUUCCCUGGAUGCUGUUUCUCCUGGCUAUUUGAGAAAAUGGUAGCUAUUCCUUCUGGGGAGGGUGCUGGGGAUGGAACCCAGGGUCUUAUGCAUGCAUGCCCUUUACUACUGAGCUACAUUCAAGCCUGUAUCCAAAUUCUAUCUAUCCUGCUAAAAUUUCUAUGGAGAUCCAAUUCGCCAUGAAAUGUUCUGUCUUGUCAUCUAUUUUCUUGACCAUAUUAAUCACAGCUAUUUUAAAGUGUGGAUCAGAAAACCCUGAGAUCUGGAUCCCCUGUGGGGCUGUUUCUAUUAUGGAGAUGCUUUUGGGCUCUGACUGAUGUUACCUUUCAUCACAGAGGAUUUAUUUUUGCUUUCCGGAAGGCAGUCAGAGGAGCAGAAGGUCAUCCUAAUCCAGCCUGGGAUUGAGCUGCUUUGCCGCUGGCGGGUAGACUUUAUACCCCUGACCCUCUGCUUGGCUUGCAGUGUGAACUCCAGAUUUGACUCCUAGCCACAGGACGCCUACCAAAAGUCCACUUCAAGUUCUCAGCUGCUUUGCCCCCACCUUCUGCUUUGUGUUUACCUCUUGGUCACCUGCUGCUCCCUAAUCAGCAAAUGCUGGUGGAGGACGGGAAGCACCUUUGAAUGUUAUCUCCAUCUGCCUGCUGCCCUCUGGCUCCCGACCUUUCCAGUCUGAGCCACCUUUAAUCAGGUAGCUUUGGGAUUCUGUUUUGGUUACUCCUGAUUAGAGGACUGGCCUCCAAUGAGUCACCACAAUCCCCCCCCCCCCAAGCCACUCCGUUAGACUGUGAGCUCCCUGAGGGCAGGGAUCUCCCCCGGGUUCUUUCCAUCACCACUGAGGCCUCUAGCCGACCUCCUAGUUUUAAAUGUCACCAGUGCACAGCCUGAACCUCUGUUCUGAGCUGGAUCUGGUCCUUAUUUCCACGUCUGUCACACGGACACCUCAAACUCAAUACAUCCAAAACCUUACUCUUCCAUCCCAAGCUGCGUCUCCCCGCUUUCUGCUGCUUUGGGUCAGAACCUUGUGGACGACCACUGACAAUUUCCGCUACCUCCCCUGCCACAUCCAGUGUCCAAGUGUGGCAGGACUCCACCUUGAGGUGUCACAUGAAGUCAUCCAGUUCCCUCCUUGCAGCCACAGCCACGUCCCCGCCACCGUGCCUGUCCUGCUGGCCGCUCAGUAGUCUCCUCACGGUUCUCCCCUGAGCUCCGUGGCCUUCUUCCAACUGGGGAGAGUGAUCCCUUGAAAACAGAAAUCUGAUUAUGUCAUUUCUCGGUAUCACACCCUCCAGUGCUUCCCAUUGCCUGUAAUGGAAAGCUGGGAAGAGAGAGCCUCAAGGAGCCAUGGGCCCUCAGGGUCUGCGCUGCUGCCUCUGCCCUUCCCUGUCCAGCAGGCACGGCAGGGUUCUCUCGGGGUCCCUUCCCGGAAGCUGGUCUUCUGCCAGGACACACCUCUUCCCUGCGUCUGCCUCUCCGUUGCCCGUUCUUUCAGGCCUAGCGCGAUGUCCCCUCUGCAGAGGAGCUUCUCUGACCUCUGGGUAGAUUACGUAACCCUGUUAGCUCACUGCCACUGUGUCCCCGGCUCUGAUCACAACACAGCCGUGAACGUGUAGUUAACUGAGUGAUUGCGUUUUUGCCCUGCUCUCCUCUCCUUAAGGCCACAGAUUGUGGCUGUCUCAGUUACUGCUCUAUCCCCACGAGCUGCAAAGUACCUAAAAGACCUUAAAAGAGUCCUAAAUGAUGUUUUAAGUAAAUGAAAUAAAAAUCAGACAAGGGGGCAGAUGGUCACCCCCAGGCCCCAGCUUCACUGCAUGGCUGGGGGCGCUCAGCAGAGGGGGAAGCUGGGUCAGGGCUAUUAGUUAGCAAAUGUCUGAGACCAUGACCGUAGAAAUAAGAACUAAACUGCGGUCUAAGGCAGUCUUCCUAUUCCUGAGCAUAAAGCACUGGCUAGGGAGCCCACAGCUCUGGGUUCCAGUCCCAGGACUGACACAAAUCCUGACAAGUAGCUGUUUGCAAAGCAUUUCCACAGACAGGAUCUCAUUAGACAGGCUCUGUGACCUCCAGCAAACAGCUUUUAGAGGCCUGUGGGAGGGGGAAGGCCUCACAGGCAGCUGUGCUGUGCUCUCCCCUGGUCCUGAGGUAAGUCUCUGCUCGGGGCGCCAUCUCUCCUGCCAAAGCAAAGGCUCCAACAAGGUGACCUCUAAGGUUCGUCUCUGAAAUCUUAGAAUUAAAAAUUCACAACUCAUUACAUCAUAAAGCAAGUUGGAGGGGACCCCUUUCUUGUCACAUAGCUUUUCCUCCCUUUCAGCUCAGGUGCCAGGGUAGUGCCACCAGAUGUUCCUAGCACUGUCGGGGUGGCUCCCCAUGGUGCCAUGUGAACACAGACUGUGAGACAAGGCUUUUGUGUGGGAUUUUGAGAGCCAAUGCCAGGAAGGAGAGGCUCAGAAAGAGGCAGGAAAGAGAACAGGCUGGGUGGGCAUGCGGGUGCGCCUGGUCCGCUCUGCCUUCUGAGGCCCUUGACCUUCUGGAUCCGCAGAGCGCCUCCAGAGUCCUCUCCCAGAAGCCCAAGUGAGGAGGUGACUGUCCACCACCUCCCACGCUCACUGAGUGCUCGAGGCAGCACUCACCAGUGGGAGGCGGCUGAGCCCCCGUGGGCCCGUCUACACAGAAUCACACCAGGGUGUGAUGUGGAGGCCAGGAUGUCGGAAGGAAGCUGGAAAAAGGGCAGGGUCACCCCUCUCAGGGCCCAAGGACAUUCCUUCCACACUCCCAUGAACACGCGCCGUUUCAUGAAUGUCAAGGACCCUCACCCUCUUUUCUGGGAAGCUCUUCAAUAUCCGGGCUAUUGAGAACGGGGAGGGAGGAUGCCCAUUAUCUGAGCUCAGUAGAAUCUUGGGAAAGAAGCAGCUCUUUCGGCUGGGACCUGAGUGACAGCCAGGAUGGAAGCUGUGACAGUCUUGCCGCAGCUAGGUUGGGGUGGUUUAUGUUCCCCCCCUUGCACAUGUGUGGGGCACCCCAGAGUUGGUAACUUCUAGGCUUCCAGUGGAGAGAGCCUCGCCAGCCUCCCCCGGGGGCACAGUGCUUUCUCUCUGCCCUUCCUUUAUAAACUCCAGUCUUUGCUUCCCUCAGCCUGGCCCUCUGAUUCUCAAAUGUCUGAUUUAUUAAUAAAAAAAGGAGCCUUGGC
Molecule: long non-coding RNA, 9167 nt
Organism: Cavia porcellus (domestic guinea pig)
Lineage: Eukaryota; Metazoa; Chordata; Mammalia; Rodentia; Caviidae
Exons: 5
Source: RefSeq, a predicted model, not a curated record